AUAUCAGUCAUGCAUAGCAUAUCAAUAAGCGGAGGAAAAGGAAACUAACAAGGAUUCCCUAGUAACGGCGAGUGAAGCGGGAAGAGCUCAAAUUUGAAAUCUUAAAGGGUUCUACCUUGACGAAUUGUAGUUUAUAGAAGUGUUUUCUGUAGUGGAGUUCGGUAAAAGUUCUUUGGAAUAGGACAUCAUAGAGGGUGAGAAUCCCGUAUUUGACCGUUACUUUCCUAGCGUUGUGAUACACUUUCAAAGAGUCGGAUUGUUUGGGAAUGCAGUCCAAAAUGGGUGGUAAAUUUCAUCUAAAGCUAAAUAUUGGCGAGAGACCGAUAGCGAACAAGUACCGUGAGGGAAAGAUGAAAAGAACUUUGAAAAGAGAGUUAAACAGUACGUGAAAUUGUCAAAAGGGAAGCGUUUGACACCAGUGUUGUUUUCUCGAAAAUCAAUUAAAAAUGGCUUGAUUUUGUGUUGUAUUGACUUUAUCGGCUUUCUGCACCUUUUUCAUGUCUUUUUUAAUGCACUUUUCGUUUAACAAGUCGACAUCAAUUUCUUUUGUUGUAAAAGGGUUAUGAGGAAGGUGGCUUUCUCUUCGGAGAAAGUGUUUAUAGCCUUGUAGCCUCUGCAAUCGGAGAGAUUGAGGUCUGCAGCGUAGAUCCUUCGGGGUUAGAUACAGUUUGUGCUAAGUUAUAGUCUUUUAUAGACAACUUGUUGACUAUGAUUUAGUCUUGUAGCUUACUCGCUGAUGCUAUUUUACCUACGCUUAGGAUGUUGAUCUCUCACAGUCGAGC
Molecule: ribosomal RNA, 782 nt
Filed under: uncultured Neocallimastigales
Lineage: Eukaryota; Fungi; Neocallimastigomycota; Neocallimastigomycetes; Neocallimastigales
Description: partial large subunit ribosomal RNA
Rfam family: Eukaryotic large subunit ribosomal RNA
Source: RNAcentral